CUUUCUCAUCGUAGACCGCAACCGAACGGUGCCGGUGGACGUCAGAUCGAUGAUAGAUCCAUCCGAGGACGAGCCGCCGACAUCCACCACGAUGCGGUUGCGGCGCCUGGACUGAUGCGCCAUACGGGGCACCGGAGAAUGUGACUCUGCCUUGCCGACAUCCGCCGCCGCCUCCCGCGCCCGGUGCCUUGCACGGCGAGCACGUCGUGCCAUGGCCGCGGCGGACGAGGCUCAUGGUGCGUCCCGAUGCUCGGCGCGCCAUUGAAGGGGUUGCGAGUCCGCGAGCGCGUUCGAACGCCAGAUGGACCGUAAGGCCUCCGGUGAGGCAGCUAUGGCCGGCCUAGCGCCGGAUCCAUGCUCCAUUUGGGCGGAAGCAAUGGAUUCUCGACGGAUGGAGUCUGAGCGCAGCCGUCCACGGGCCUCCUCCCGGGCGCGGCGGAGCGCAAGCCGGACGGCCAUCUCCUCCUCGGGGCCGCGCGGGAUGAGAUCGGGGUCGACGGAUCUGGAGGUGAAGGACUCGGAUCCGCUACCCGUCAUGCCGAAGAGGAUCGGAAGGAGCCGGAGAUGAGCUUGGGUGGCGGAGGGGAAUGGAGGGGAGGGGAGUGAAGUGGCUAGGGUUUGGUCCGGCGAGUGGAUGGGAAGGAUUUUUUGUGGGGUCGGGUGAGCCAGCAUGGGCCGGGUUCGACUUGGCAGGCGUGCCCGGGCACCCCCAUAUCCACUCCAUAUUUGGGCUGGGUAUGGGGGGCGGGGUUAGCCCGGGCGUUUGAAGGCCGUUUGAGAGGCCCGUCUAGGUCAAAAAAUCAUGAACAAGCAGUGACCGGGCGGCCUGCCCAGGCGUUUGAGACGGGUUUAAGGGGUCCGGUUGUAGAUGCUCUUACAGAAGAGUAUUCGUGACAUGCAUCAGGGGCAGUCGACCGCCGGUCUGCGUCAAGAUUCAAAACGCCGUUUGUGUAUAUCACCUACUUCCCCUCAUACAGCCCUUUGCAAAUAUUUGUAAACUGAUCAUAAAUGGAAAGCAAUAUAUAUGUUUUUG
This 1033-nucleotide ribosomal RNA is filed under the name Triticum aestivum (bread wheat). RNAcentral describes it as "partial small subunit ribosomal RNA". Lineage: Eukaryota; Viridiplantae; Streptophyta; Magnoliopsida; Poales; Poaceae. The record is from RNAcentral.